CUUGCUCCUCUGACGUUAGCGGCGGACGGGUGAGUAACACGUGGAUAACCUACCUAUAAGACUGGGAUAACUUCGGGAAACCGGAGCUAAUACCGGAUAAUAUAUUGAACCGCAUGGUUCAAUAGUGAAAGACGGUUUUGCUGUCACUUAUAGAUGGAUCCGCGCCGCAUUAGCUAGUUGGCAAGGUAACGGCUUACCAAGGCAACGAUGCGUAGCCGACCUGAGAGGGUGAUCGGCCACACUGGAACUGAGACACGGUCCAGACUCCUACGGGAGGCAGCAGUAGGGAAUCUUCCGCAAUGGGCGAAAGCCUGACGGAGCAACGCCGCGUGAGUGAUGAAGGUCUUCGGAUCGUAAAACUCUGUUAUCAGGGAAGAACAAAUGUGUAAGUAACUGUGCACAUCUUGACGGUACCUGAUCAGAAAGCCACGGCUAACUACGUGCCAGCAGCCGCGGUAAUACGUAGGUGGCAAGCGUUAUCCGGAAUUAUUGGGCGUAAAGCGCGCGUAGGCGGUUUUUUAAGUCUGAUGUGAAAGCCCACGGCUCAACCGGUGGAGGGUCACUUGGAAACUGGAAGACUUGAGUGCAGAAGAGGAAAGUGGAUUCCAUGUGUAGCGGUGAAAUGCGCAGAGAUAUGGAGGACACCAGUGGCGAAGGCGACUUUCUGGUC
Molecule: ribosomal RNA, 670 nt
Filed under: uncultured Staphylococcus sp.
Lineage: Bacteria; Bacillati; Bacillota; Bacilli; Caryophanales; Staphylococcaceae
Description: bacterial SSU rRNA
Rfam family: Bacterial small subunit ribosomal RNA
Source: RNAcentral